UGCGUAGGCGGUUUAUUAAGUCAGAUGUAAAGCCCCGGGCUUAACCUGGGAACUGCAUUUGAUACUGGUAGACUAGAGUAUGGUAGAGGGGGUAGAAUUCCUAGUGUAGCGGUGAAAUGCGUAGAUAUUAGGAGGAAUACCAGUGGCGAAGGCGGCCCCUGGACCAAUACUGACGCUGAGGUACGAAAGCGUGGGUAGCGAACA
Molecule: ribosomal RNA, 204 nt
Filed under: uncultured bacterium
Lineage: Bacteria
Description: partial 16S ribosomal RNA
Rfam family: Bacterial small subunit ribosomal RNA
Source: RNAcentral